Molecule: ribosomal RNA, 604 nt
Filed under: Aureobasidium sp. 42L-7-10-5
Lineage: Eukaryota; Fungi; Ascomycota; Dothideomycetes; Dothideales; Saccotheciaceae
Description: eukaryotic LSU rRNA
Rfam family: Eukaryotic large subunit ribosomal RNA
Source: RNAcentral
UAAAUUAAUUUUUUUGCAUAUCCAAUAAGCGGAGGAAAAGAAACCAACAGGGAUUGCCCUAGUAACGGCGAGUGAAGCGGCAACAGCUCAAAUUUGAAAGCUGGCCUUCGGGUCCGCAUUGUAAUUUGUAGAGGAUGCUUUGGGUGAAACGCCAGUCUAAGUUCCUUGGAACAGGACGUCAUAGAGGGUGAGAAUCCCGUAUGUGACUGGAAAUGUUAACCUAUGUAAAGCUCCUUCGACGAGUCGAGUUGUUUGGGAAUGCAGCUCUAAAUGGGAGGUAAAUUUCUUCUAAAGCUAAAUAUUGGCGAGAGACCGAUAGCGCACAAGUAGAGUGAUCGAAAGAUGAAAAGCACUUUGGAAAGAGAGUUAAAAAGCACGUGAAAUUGUUGAAAGGGAAGCGCUUGCAAUCAGACUUGUUUAAACUGUUCGGCCGGUCUUCUGACCGGUUUACUCAGUUUGGACAGGCCAGCAUCAGUUUCGGCGGCCGGAUAAAGGCUCUGGGAAUGUGGCCUUCACUUCGGUGAAGGUGUUAUAGCCCAGGGUGUAAUACGGCCAGCCGGGACUGAGGUCCGCGCUCGGCUAGGAUGCCGCGUAAGCCAGCGGG